RNAcentral lists this ribosomal RNA (2929 nucleotides) under Escherichia coli. RNAcentral describes it as "23S ribosomal RNA". It matches the Rfam family "Bacterial large subunit ribosomal RNA". Lineage: Bacteria; Pseudomonadati; Pseudomonadota; Gammaproteobacteria; Enterobacterales; Enterobacteriaceae. The record is from RNAcentral.
GGGUUGUGAGGUUAAGCGACUAAGCGUACACGGUGGAUGCCCUGGCAGUCAGAGGCGAUGAAGGACGUGCUAAUCUGCGAUAAGCGUCGGUAAGGUGAUAUGAACCGUUAUAACCGGCGAUUUCCGAAUGGGGAAACCCAGUGUGUUUCGACACACUAUCAUUAACUGAAUCCAUAGGUUAAUGAGGCGAACCGGGGGAACUGAAACAUCUAAGUACCCCGAGGAAAAGAAAUCAACCGAGAUUCCCCCAGUAGCGGCGAGCGAACGGGGAGCAGCCCAGAGCCUGAAUCAGUGUGUGUGUUAGUGGAAGCGUCUGGAAAGGCGCGCGAUACAGGGUGACAGCCCCGUACACAAAAAUGCACAUACUGUGAGCUCGAUGAGUAGGGCGGGACACGUGGUAUCCUGUCUGAAUAUGGGGGGACCAUCCUCCAAGGCUAAAUACUCCUGACUGACCGAUAGUGAACCAGUACCGUGAGGGAAAGGCGAAAAGAACCCCGGCGAGGGGAGUGAAAAAGAACCUGAAACCGUGUACGUACAAGCAGUGGGAGCCUCUUUAUGGGGUGACUGCGUACCUUUUGUAUAAUGGGUCAGCGACUUAUAUUCUGUAGCAAGGUUAACCGAAUAGGGGAGCCGAAGGGAAACCGAGUCUUAACUGGGCGUUAAGUUGCAGGGUAUAGACCCGAAACCCGGUGAUCUAGCCAUGGGCAGGUUGAAGGUUGGGUAACACUAACUGGAGGACCGAACCGACUAAUGUUGAAAAAUUAGCGGAUGACUUGUGGCUGGGGGUGAAAGGCCAAUCAAACCGGGAGAUAGCUGGUUCUCCCCGAAAGCUAUUUAGGUAGCGCCUCGUGAAUUCAUCUCCGGGGGUAGAGCACUGUUUCGGCAAGGGGGUCAUCCCGACUUACCAACCCGAUGCAAACUGCGAAUACCGGAGAAUGUUAUCACGGGAGACACACGGCGGGUGCUAACGUCCGUCGUGAAGAGGGAAACAACCCAGACCGCCAGCUAAGGUCCCAAAGUCAUGGUUAAGUGGGAAACGAUGUGGGAAGGCCCAGACAGCCAGGAUGUUGGCUUAGAAGCAGCCAUCAUUUAAAGAAAGCGUAAUAGCUCACUGGUCGAGUCGGCCUGCGCGGAAGAUGUAACGGGGCUAAACCAUGCACCGAAGCUGCGGCAGCGACGCUUAUGCGUUGUUGGGUAGGGGAGCGUUCUGUAAGCCUGUGAAGGUGUGCUGUGAGGCAUGCUGGAGGUAUCAGAAGUGCGAAUGCUGACAUAAGUAACGAUAAAGCGGGUGAAAAGCCCGCUCGCCGGAAGACCAAGGGUUCCUGUCCAACGUUAAUCGGGGCAGGGUGAGUCGACCCCUAAGGCGAGGCCGAAAGGCGUAGUCGAUGGGAAACAGGUUAAUAUUCCUGUACUUGGUGUUACUGCGAAGGGGGGACGGAGAAGGCUAUGUUGGCCGGGCGACGGUUGUCCCGGUUUAAGCGUGUAGGCUGGUUUUCCAGGCAAAUCCGGAAAAUCAAGGCUGAGGCGUGAUGACGAGGCACUACGGUGCUGAAGCAACAAAUGCCCUGCUUCCAGGAAAAGCCUCUAAGCAUCAGGUAACAUCAAAUCGUACCCCAAACCGACACAGGUGGUCAGGUAGAGAAUACCAAGGCGCUUGAGAGAACUCGGGUGAAGGAACUAGGCAAAAUGGUGCCGUAACUUCGGGAGAAGGCACGCUGAUAUGUAGGUGAAGUCCCUCGCGGAUGGAGCUGAAAUCAGUCGAAGAUACCAGCUGGCUGCAACUGUUUAUUAAAAACACAGCACUGUGCAAACACGAAAGUGGACGUAUACGGUGUGACGCCUGCCCGGUGCCGGAAGGUUAAUUGAUGGGGUCAGCGCAAGCGAAGCUCUUGAUCGAAGCCCCGGUAAACGGCGGCCGUAACUAUAACGGUCCUAAGGUAGCGAAAUUCCUUGUCGGGUAAGUUCCGACCUGCACGAAUGGCGUAAUGAUGGCCAGGCUGUCUCCACCCGAGACUCAGUGAAAUUGAACUCGCUGUGAAGAUGCAGUGUACCCGCGGCAAGACGGAAAGACCCCGUGAACCUUUACUAUAGCUUGACACUGAACAUUGAGCCUUGAUGUGUAGGAUAGGUGGGAGGCUUAGAAGUGUGGACGCCAGUCUGCAUGGAGCCGACCUUGAAAUACCACCCUUUAAUGUUUGAUGUUCUAACGUUGACCCGUGAUCCGGGUUGCGGACAGUGUCUGGUGGGUAGUUUGACUGGGGCGGUCUCCUCCUAAAGAGUAACGGAGGAGCACGAAGGUUGGCUAAUCCUGGUCGGACAUCAGGAGGUUAGUGCAAUGGCAUAAGCCAGCUUGACUGCGAGCGUGACGGCGCGAGCAGGUGCGAAAGCAGGUCAUAGUGAUCCGGUGGUUCUGAAUGGAAGGGCCAUCGCUCAACGGAUAAAAGGUACUCCGGGGAUAACAGGCUGAUACCGCCCAAGAGUUCAUAUCGACGGCGGUGUUUGGCACCUCGAUGUCGGCUCAUCACAUCCUGGGGCUGAAGUAGGUCCCAAGGGUAUGGCUGUUCGCCAUUUAAAGUGGUACGCGAGCUGGGUUUAGAACGUCGUGAGACAGUUCGGUCCCUAUCUGCCGUGGGCGCUGGAGAACUGAGGGGGGCUGCUCCUAGUACGAGAGGACCGGAGUGGACGCAUCACUGGUGUUCGGGUUGUCAUGCCAAUGGCACUGCCCGGUAGCUAAAUGCGGAAGAGAUAAGUGCUGAAAGCAUCUAAGCACGAAACUUGCCCCGAGAUGAGUUCUCCCUGACCCUUUAAGGGUCCUGAAGGAACGUUGAAGACGACGACGUUGAUAGGCCGGGUGUGUAAGCGCAGCGAUGCGUUGAGCUAACCGGUACUAAUGAACCGUGAGGCUUAACCUUACAACGCCGAAGCUGUU